This 74-nucleotide transfer RNA is filed under the name Loxodonta africana (African savanna elephant). It matches the Rfam family "tRNA". Rfam says of the family: Transfer RNA (tRNA) molecules are approximately 80 nucleotides in length. Their secondary structure includes four short double-helical elements and three loops (D, anti-codon, and T loops). The record is from Rfam by way of RNAcentral. Lineage: Eukaryota; Metazoa; Chordata; Mammalia; Proboscidea; Elephantidae.
CCCUGGGUGGUGUAAACAGUUAACACACUUGACUGCUAACCAAAAGGUUGGUGGUUCGAGUCCACUCAGAGGUG